CAUUACGACGAAGCCGAAAGGAAAAUUUGAUUGCGGAUGCAAUGUAUCUUACUUUACUCAUGGAUCUGCGAAAAUAUUUGACAUAAAUAUAAAGGGAAAUCCCUCAUUCAGAGGAUUAAAGACACAUUUAACAAAAAUCGUCAACGGUGCCAUACCCAGUAAACGCCACAGGUUAUUUAAGCAAAUGAUCCAUGGGCGAAAUCAAGCUCAGACUGAACUCACCGAUCUCUACAUGACGUGUCCUUUAACUCAAACUCAAAUAUAAAAACAUAUUCUCUGUUAGAAAUAGAGCCCCACUAGUGUCUUAACUCGUCAUUUUUGUAUAUAUAGGCAAAAGAUCUGUUGAAUGUAGUCAAAGAAAUAGUCACAGAUAUUUUUCGAUCCUUUGAUGAAACAAAUUCAAUGAACAUCAACUACAUGUAUAACGUUUUAUUCCCUGAGGCUUGCAUAUAUUGUAUACGAAAAAUUGAGCGUUGUCUCCGAAAUAACGCUGAAAAAAUUUUAUAAUUGUGCGAGUGGAGUUCAAGACGGUGCAGACUCUGAAAGUGACUAACCUUGUUGUCUACCGAAAAACCUGAAAGCUGUAGUGGAUCUUGUAAAAAUUUGAGGAUUUUCAAGAGCUUGAAGUGACUGCACAAACCUGUUAUACAUCAUCGCUGGUGCUUUCAUAGUCGUGUGUAAAAAUAUCGCUUUACCAUAUUCAACAUCAAGUACGUUUUCAUGGUUAAUAAAACUAUUCAAAA
Xenia sp. Carnegie-2017 is the source of this 743-nucleotide long non-coding RNA. RefSeq lists it as uncharacterized. The record is from RefSeq and is a predicted model, not a curated record. Lineage: Eukaryota; Metazoa; Cnidaria; Anthozoa; Malacalcyonacea; Xeniidae. The transcript is spliced from 5 exons.